RNAcentral lists this unclassified non-coding RNA (258 nucleotides) under Glomeraceae sp. RNAcentral's name for it is "partial contains 5.8S ribosomal RNA and internal transcribed spacer 2". The stretch from base 1 to 71 matches the Rfam family "5.8S ribosomal RNA", at positions 84 to 154 of the family's 154-position model. The record is from RNAcentral. Lineage: Eukaryota; Fungi; Glomeromycota; Glomeromycetes; Glomerales; Glomeraceae.
GUGAAUCAUCGAAUUUUUGAACGCAAAUUGCACUCUCUGGUAUUCCGGAGAGUAUGCCUGUUUGAGGGUCAGUUUAAAUAAAAAUCGGUGUGGUUGCUGCCUUUCGUGGUGACGUACCGGUUUUGGGUUGUCUUGCCUUUGGUUAAGUGUCCUAAAAUUUUGCAUGAUUUUCUCGAAGGUAUUUAAAUGAUUUUACGUAUGUUUGCGAUAUCGGUUAAUUGGUGUGGUCAAUUUCAUGAUUCGCGACUAUAAUUUUUC